CAAAGGUUCAACGUUUCGCACAACCUUGUGGUCAGAGAGAAGCCUCUCCUAACAUCUCCGACACCCGAUGUCACGUCCUGAAGCCACCUGUCUCAGCGAAGGCCUAAAGAGGUGGGGUUGCACGCAGGCCGGGGGAUAGAAAGCACCAUAUUCACAGGUGUCCCCAAACAUCAUGUCAUACCACAAAAACACGACGGAACAUGAUCCCGCUUCAUUUUCACUGCAUGUGGUGUCAUUUUGUUGAGCAAUGACAUCAUAGGCAAUCCAUCAUUUUUGACCAGAACCUUACACUGUAUUCCUACUUUCAUAUCUGAUCAAUAGAUAUUAGUCAGUUUUGAAUAAAGGUAGUACUUUACUCGUCACA
This is a long non-coding RNA of Syngnathoides biaculeatus (alligator pipefish), 364 nucleotides long. RefSeq lists it as uncharacterized. The record is from RefSeq and is a predicted model, not a curated record. NCBI's taxonomy places the organism in Eukaryota, Metazoa, Chordata, Actinopteri, Syngnathiformes, Syngnathidae. The transcript is spliced from 3 exons.